GCCCGCAAGGGGAGCGGCAGACGGGUGAGUAACGCGUGGGAACGUACCUUUUGCUACGGAAUAACUCAGGGAAACUUGUGCUAAUACCGUAUGUGCCCUUCGGGGAAAGAUUUAUCGGCAAAGGAUCGGCCCGCGUUGGAUUAGCUAGUUGGUGAGGUAAAGGCUCACCAAGGCGACGAUCCAUAGCUGGUCUGAGAGGAUGAUCAGCCACACUGGGACUGAGACACGGCCCAG
RNAcentral lists this ribosomal RNA (234 nucleotides) under uncultured bacterium. Its description in RNAcentral is "partial 16S ribosomal RNA". It matches the Rfam family "Bacterial small subunit ribosomal RNA", at positions 82 to 334 of the family's 1533-position model. The record is from RNAcentral.